GACGAACGCUGGCGGCGUGCUUAACACAUGCAAGUCGAACGGAAAGGCCCUGCUUUUGUGGGGUGCUCGAGUGGCGAACGGGUGAGUAACACGUGAGUAACCUGCCCUUGACUUUGGGAUAACUUCAGGAAACUGGGGCUAAUACCGGAUAGGAGCUCCUGCCGCAUGGUGGGGGUUGGAAAGUUUCGGCGGUUGGGGAUGGACUCGCGGCUUAUCAGCUCGUUGGUGGGGUAGUGGCUUACCAAGGCUUUGACGGGUAGCCGGCCUGAGAGGGUGACCGGCCACAUUGGGACUGAGAUACGGCCCAGACUCCUACGGGAGGCAGCAGUGGGGAAUAUUGCACAAUGGGCGGAAGCCUGAUGCAGCAACGCCGCGUGCGGGAUGACGGCCUUCGGGUUGUAAACCGCUUUCGCCUGUGACGAAGCGUGAGUGACGGUAAUGGGUAAAGAAGCACCGGCUAACUACGUG
RNAcentral lists this ribosomal RNA (468 nucleotides) under uncultured bacterium. Its description in RNAcentral is "partial 16S ribosomal RNA". It matches the Rfam family "Bacterial small subunit ribosomal RNA", at positions 28 to 507 of the family's 1533-position model. The record is from RNAcentral.